RNAcentral lists this long non-coding RNA (3467 nucleotides) under Taeniopygia guttata (zebra finch). Its description in RNAcentral is "lncRNA (ENSTGUG00000020725.1)". The record is from RNAcentral. Lineage: Eukaryota; Metazoa; Chordata; Aves; Passeriformes; Estrildidae.
UACAUGGCGAACCUUCACAGGUAGCUUCUCUACCCGGAUAGCGAUAUCUUUCCACUCUUCAGCAGCCCAAAUUGGUUUUCCUCUACGCUGCCAGUUAGCUUCUUUCCACCUCUCCAGCCACCCCCACAGAGCAUUGGCUACCAUCCAUGAAUCAGUGUAGAGGUAGAGCUUUGGGCACUUCUCCCUUUCUGCAAUGUCUAGGGCCAGUUGAACAGCUUUGAGUUCAGCAAACUGGCUUGAUCCACCUUCUCCUUCAGUGGCCUCUGCAACCCGUCGUGUGGGACUCCAUACAGCUGCUUUCCACUUCCGAUUCAUCCCUACGAUGCGACAGGAACCAUCAGUGAAGAGAGCAUAGCGUGUUUCCUCUGCUGGCAGUUGGUUGUAUGGUGGAGCUUCUUCAGCCCAUGUCACUGGUUCUUCUUCUUCAUCUGCGACACCAAAACUUUCACCUUCGGGCCAAUUUGUAAUUACUUCCAAAAUCCCAGGGCGAUUCAGCUUACCAAUAUGGGCACGCUGCGUGAUGAGAGCAAUCCACUUGCUCCAUGUAGCACUGGUGGCAUGGUGGGUGGAGGGAACCUUUCCUCUGAACAUCCACCCCAGCACCGGUAGUCGGGGUGCCAGGAGGAGUUGUGCUUCUGUGCCAAUCACCUCUGAGAUGGCCUGGACUCCCUCGUAGGCGGCCAAGAUUUCCUUCUCUGUUGGGGUGUAGUUGGCUUUAGACCCUCUGUAGCUCCGACUCCAAAAUCCCAGUGGUCGGCCCCGAGUCUCAUCAGGCACCUUCUGCCAAAGGCUCCAGGACAGACCAUGGUUCCCGGCUGCAGAGUAGAGCACGUUCUUCACAUCUGGUCCUGUCCUGACUGGGCCAAGGGCUACUGCAUGAGCAAUUUCCUGCUUUAUCUGGGUGAAAGCUUGCUGCUGCUCAGGGCCCCAGCAGAAAUCAUUCUUCUUGCGGGUGACCAGGUAGAGGGGACUCACGAUCUGACUGUACUCAGGAAUGUGCAUUCUCCAAAAACCAAUGGCGCCUAAGAAAGCUUGUGUCUCUUUCUUGUUGGUUGGUGGGGACAUGGCUGUGAUCUUGUUGAUGACAUCUGUAGGAAUCUGACGCCGUCCAUCUUGCCACUUCACUCCCAAGAACUGGAUCUUUCGAGCAGGUCCCUUCACUUUACUCUUCUUGAUGGCAAAACCAGCUUCCAGGAGGAUUCGGAUGAUUUUCUCUCCUUUCUCAAACACUUCUGCUGCUGUGUUCCCCCACACAAUGAUAUCAUCAAUAUAUUGUAGAUGUUCUGGAGCCUCACCCUUUUCUAGUGCAGUCUGGAUCAGUCCAUGGCAGAUGGUAGGACUGUGCUUCCACCCCUGGGGCAGUCGGUUCCAGGUGUAGUGCACUCCCCUCCACGUAAAGGCAAACUGAGGCCUGCAUUCUGCUGCCAGAGGAAUGGAGAAAAAUGCAUUGGCAAUAUCAAUAAUGUACAUGGUACCAAGUCUGGAUUCCUAGUUGUUAUUUCAUCUGAGAAGAUAAUCUCUGCCACUGCCAUUUCUCUCAGACGCUGGAUCCCUUGUUCUAUAGUCUUCCACUGGGUUUGCUGCAUAUAAAGAUCAUCUGCACACAGGUAUCUUUGUGCUACACUUUCCAGAACCCGUGCCCAGAGGCUGUGAGGGUUAGCCCCCCUCAUCAUUCCUUGAUCAAUGACAGGAUCAUGUGACAGGGAUCCCAAAUGUCUUGCCUCAGUACCAUCCAGAAUUGUAGCCUCGCCUGCAGCAUCCCAAAGACGGACCAACCAACUAAUUACAGACUCAUCAGGUCGUCGGGUAUAAUCCUUCCUCAGGCCACGAAGGUCCUUUAGGGAAAAGGACUCAGUAUUGGCCUCUGAUCUUGUACCAGUUGCUUUGACUUCUGAUUUUAUGUCAGCAGGCAUUGAGGGUCCCUCUCCUGCAUUAUCAUCAUCAUCGUCAUCAUCCACUGGUCGAUUGGUCUUUUCUGUGCGCUUCCCACUUCUUGUGCUCGUAGCAACAGCCAUUGGUUGAGGCUUGGCUGCUGAGUCUGGUUUAGCUGCUGGCCUAGGCUCACUGUCUGGUUUAGCUGCUAGCCUAGGCUCACUGUCUGGUUUAGCUGCUAGCCCAGGCUCACUGUCUGGUUUAGCUGCUGGCUUUGAGCCGGGGGUGUUGGCUGCAGCCUGAGUGACUGGGAUAGCUGCUGAUUUAUCUCCCUGCCCCCCUUCCUCUGUCUGCUGCCCUACAGUAUCUAGCAGGGUGCGAUAAGCAUAUGCCAGGGCCCAGCUCACUGCAAUGAUCUUUUUCUCCUUCGAGUUAUCAUGGCACUUCUCUUUCAAGUACUUCACCACCUCAGCCAGAUUCUGAAUUUGUUCACUAGGAAAGUCCCAGGCUAUAGGGUCAGAAAAUUCCUUUAAGAUUUGGCCCAUAUCCUCCCAUUUCCCACACCACUCGGGAUUUCUCACACCUGGGUCUACUCCUGGGUCAGAGGUCUCAUCAGCCUCCCUAGAAAUCUCAGCCCUCAUUCUAGAGAGACUGCAGACUGUAUAGAGAAAGCUUACCAGAUUAAACACCAGGAAGAUGGUCUCCUUAACAGUCAGGGGAAACUGAACAUUCUCUAAUAGGGAGGUAACAAAUUCAGAGGAGAAGAAGGAAAGCAAAGGCUGAAAAGCCUCAUCCCCUACUUCCCCUCUAACAAACUGGCUGCACAACCAUAACCAUGAACCAUACAUUCCAGGAACAGACCUCAGCACCUUUAUAAACCCUCUGGAAGCUAUUACAGCCAAGCACAGCCCGAUGGAUAUUCUGGUCAGUGCCCUUCUACUGCAAAACCUAUGUAUUAGGGACAAUACUGGAGCUAUUCCUGGAUAAAAAAAUAAACCUAGGGACCAUAGGGGGAUUAAGAUCUCAAAAACCCCUAGGGACCAGAGACACAUGCAGGCCUUCACCCCAAGAGACAAUAUUAAUUCAAACAACAUAACCAGUAACUGCUCCAUACCCAGACAAAAUAAUUGGAACAAAAAUAUGAUUACAACAGGGUUUUUUCCACUCUCUCGAGCCCCGAGUUGGGCGCCAAAAUAUUUGUCCUAGUUUAGGGCAAAUUUGGGGAAAACCCUCUGAAAGGAGCCCCCAGGAAAUAAACCCCCACGGUCCCUCCUCACCCACCUGGUUCAGGGAAAAAUUUCCUCUGAGAGAGAAGUGGAAAAGAACCUGUUUAUUCAACAACAAAGCACUCCCCAGCACCAAAACAAUUAACAACACCAGAUGACAACAAAACUCUUUCACCCCUCUGAAGAGAUGAACAAAUCCAGAAAGUCUUUCCUGGGAGUGGUCGCCCGGGUCUGGACGCUGGGGAUUGCUCUCCAGCACUGGGGAUGGCUGCUGCAGAUCACAAAAUGCAGGCUCCUGGUGUUCCUUGGUGUUUCCCAGAUCCCAGUCCAGAGCAGGUUGGAUGGUAUUCAGGAAGAGGAAAGGAAAAA